GUCUUUUUGAAUUAAUAUAAAGUCGUACCUGCCCACUGAGGAGUUGAAUGGCCGCGGUAUUUUGACCGUGCAAAGGUAGCAUAAUCAUUAGUCUUUUAAUUGGAGGCUGGAAUGAAAGGUUUGACGAAGCAACUACUGUCUCGAAUUAAUAUAUUGAAUUUUACUUUUAAGUUAAAAGGCUUAAAUAAUAAUAGGGGACGAGAAGACCCUAUAGAUCUUGAAAUGUUUUUAUAAUAGUGUAUAUUUGGUUGUAUAUAAUUAUUAUUAUAAUAAUGUUUUUGGUUGGGGUGACAAGAGAAUAGAAAAACUUCUUUGAUUAGAACUAUGAUAUUUGGUUAUUAGAUCCUAUAAUAUGGAAUUUAGAUAAAGAUACCUUAGGGAUAACAGCGUAAUUUUGUUGGAGAGUUCAUAUUGAUAAUAAAGAUUGCGACCUCGAUGUUGGAUUAAGAAAAUAAUUAGGUGCAGAAGUUUAAUUUAUUGGUCUGUUCGACCAUUAAAUUCUU
This 503-nucleotide ribosomal RNA is filed under the name Velarifictorus aspersus. RNAcentral describes it as "partial 16S ribosomal RNA". It matches the Rfam family "Archaeal large subunit ribosomal RNA", at positions 1911 to 2666 of the family's 2987-position model. The record is from RNAcentral. Lineage: Eukaryota; Metazoa; Arthropoda; Insecta; Orthoptera; Gryllidae.